RNAcentral lists this ribosomal RNA (497 nucleotides) under uncultured bacterium. RNAcentral's name for it is "partial 16S ribosomal RNA". It matches the Rfam family "Bacterial small subunit ribosomal RNA", at positions 28 to 507 of the family's 1533-position model. The record is from RNAcentral.
GAUGAACGCUGGCGGCGUGCCUAAUACAUGCAAGUCGAGCGAACGGACGAGAAGCUUGCUUCUCUGAUGUUAGCGGCGGACGGGUGAGUAACACGUGGAUCACCUACCUAUAAGACUGGGAUAACUUCGGGACACCGGAGCUAAUACCGGAUAAUAUUUUGAACCGCAUGGUUCAAAAGUGAAAGACGGUCUUGCUGUCACUUAUAGAUGGAUCCGCGCUGCAUUAGCUAGUUGUUAAGGUAACGGCUUACCAAGGCAACGAUGCAUAGCCGACCUGAGAGGGUGAUAGGCGACACUGGAGCGGAGACACGGUCCAGACUCCUACGGGAGGCAGCAGUAGCGAAUCGUACGCAGUGGGCGAAAGCCUGACGGAGCAACGCCGCGUGAGAGAUGGAGGUCUUCGGAUCGUAAAACUCGGUUAUUAGGGAAGAACAGAUGUGUAAGGAACUGUGCACAGCUUGACGGUACCGAAUCAGAAAGCCACGGCUAACUACGUG